GCGCUUGCUCUGGUAGCACAUAUACUAACAUUGGAAUGAUACAGAGAAGACUAGCAUGUCCCCUGCGCAAGGAAGACAUACAAAUUCAUGAAGCGCUCCAUAUUCAU
Molecule: small nuclear RNA, 107 nt
Organism: Protopterus annectens (West African lungfish)
Lineage: Eukaryota; Metazoa; Chordata; Ceratodontiformes; Protopteridae
Source: RefSeq, a predicted model, not a curated record